CCUACGGGAGGCAGCAGUGGGGAAUCUUGCACAAUGGAGGAAACUCUGAUGCAGCGAUGCCGCGUGAGUGAAGAAGGCCUUUGGGUUGUAAAGCUCUUUUGUAGGGGAAGAUAAUGACUGUACCCUAAGAAUAAGGUCCGGCUAACUUCGUGCCAGCAGCCGCGGUAAUACGAAGGGACCUAGCGUAGUUCGGAAUUACUGGGCGUAAAGCGCGCGUAGGCCGUUGAGUUAGUUAAUUGUGAAAUCCCAAAGCUUAACUUUGGAACUGCAAUUAAAACUGCUCGACUAGAGUUUGAUAGAGGAAAGCGGAAUACAUAGUGUAGAGGUGAAAUUCGUAGAUAUUAUGUAGAACACCAGUUGCGAAGGCGGCUUUCUGGAUCAACACUGACGCUGAGGCGCGAAAGUAUGGGUAGCAAAGAGGAUUAGAUACCCUCGUAGUCCAUACCAUAAACGAUGAUUGCUAGAUGUUGGAAAUUUAUUUUCAGUAUCGCAGCUAACGCAUUAAGCAAUCCGCCUGGGGAGUACGACCGCAAGGUUAAAACUCAAAGGAAUUGACGGCUGAGACCGNGCGAGCGACACGAGGAGAG
Molecule: ribosomal RNA, 587 nt
Filed under: uncultured bacterium
Lineage: Bacteria
Description: bacterial SSU rRNA
Rfam family: Bacterial small subunit ribosomal RNA
Source: RNAcentral